UCAUUGUUUUGGAGAGAUGCUGCUGCAGUGAAUUACCGCCCCCGUCAUUGGUGGUGAUGGUGGGAGGGGCAGAGGAUGCCGCCACUGCAGGCAUCUCCUUCCUUUGCCGGCCAUGCCUCCUCUUCUUUUUUGAGGUUCAAGCAUGAAGAGAUCCGUCAUCAUCCGAUGACUCCGUAAACUGACAGCUUCACACUACGCAUAG
RNAcentral lists this long non-coding RNA (202 nucleotides) under Elaeis guineensis (African oil palm). RNAcentral describes it as "long non-coding RNA (EGUI_LNC076508)". The record is from RNAcentral. Lineage: Eukaryota; Viridiplantae; Streptophyta; Magnoliopsida; Arecales; Arecaceae.